AGGUGGCGAAAUUUGGGGAUAUAAGGGCCAUGUAACAAAAAUAUAUCUAGCUAUAUAUACAUACAAUUAUAUCUAUAUAUAAUAUCAUGAAUCUGGACGAAAUGGUAAGUAAAUUAAGGAAGAAAAUGGAUGGAGACCACCGCUUCAGAGGCUUCCCAUAUUCGUUCUGUUUCUCAUUUCGUUUAAGAGAGAGAGAGAGAGAAAAAGCUCGUGUUGAGAGAGAAAAACAGAGAGAAACAAAAAGCAUUAAGAGAGAAACAGAAGAGAGAGAGAGAGAGAAACCAGAAAAAUAUGGGAGUGCGUCCCGUGCGCCUCUGCCGAGAUGAGUCCAGCUUCCUUCAGAUUUGAGGUGAGCUCCUUUUCUUUCUGAUGUUUUGUCUCUUCCUUUACUUGCUUCCUAUCGUCUCUCUUAACGUAAUUAAGGCACUCAAAAUGUGCAACAACCUUUGAAUAGAAGCUUCCUCCUCUGUUGCUAUCAACCCGUGAGGCUGAGACAGGUAAACCGACUUUGCUUCUUUCUGUAGCUUCUGUUUCAUGAUGCUGGGAACUCCUGCGUUGCUUGGAGCUUGUUAGGGUCCUCUAGUUUGGGUUAGAAGAGUCCCAGAAAUAGAAACACUUCUGAAAUUCAUGGAAUUAUCGCAAACAGCUCCUCACCUUGCACUAGUUGCUGCAGAUGCACUGCAGAUGCGUUCCUUCACUUUGGGAGCGAUUCCUGCAUGCGUUUCGGCUUCCGUGGGGGUCGUUCAAACGGUAAGAAAGAUAGUAAUUUGGUUUACACAAACAUGGGGUUUUAUAGAUAUAUUUAGAAGGCGAGAAUUACAUGAAAGUGGCUUGUGCAUGUUGUUUUAAUUAAAGUAGAAGUGUGCACAUGUGUUUAUGCAUGUUUUUGUGAUUAAUCUAUGUUUUUAUGAUUAAUGAAUGAAAAUGUUUCAUAACAUGUUUGAAUAGUUUUAAAGUGAUCGCAUAACAAAAUACGGGAAGAAAAUCGAAGGGGAGCGUCAAUAGAGGUGACGUGAUAGUAGCCGAAGACAUGUUUAAACCAGUAGAAGGCAGGAGGCGGGUUAGUACUGAUGAUCUUUCGGCAAACGAAAAAACAGUUGUGAAGUGACAACACUCAAGGGUACUUUAUCCCUGAUCAAGUAUAAAAUAGUGAGACCGAAUCCACCAAGCAGAAACCCCGACCUAGGAAGGACACCAAAAGGUACUAAAAAUCCAAAGAGUAACAGACCUCACUGCUAAAGAACGACUAGGCUCGAAAAUCUCGACCCAAGAAGGACCAGUUGUUGUCUGGGUAUGGGUAUCCGUGGGGUAUACAUGUGUCGCAAUGCACAUACAGGAUGUUUAGUCCCCAUGUCUUCUUGUAUUCCAAGGUCCCGUAAUGAAUCAAUCGAAAAGACUUUUUUGCCCGCAGGAAAACAAGAGGCAGGCAAAUUCCUUGACAUGUGGAUAUGGAGGCCAACGCAUGAACGAGGCUACCCCCACGCGUGCGGCCCAACCUGCAUGCCCCACGUGUGCCCGAGCACAGGUGCGCCCGCACGGACCGCGUGCCCAAGCGCACAAUAGUGCCCACGCCCUGGGCCCGUUGGCCCUGCGCACAGAAUCUGUCGCGCGCACAGGCCCAUGCAGCAGAACAUGCACACCCCACGUGGCCGAGCCAGAAACCAGCCCAGCUGGUCCAAUACGCAGCCCGCGAGCCGACCAGCGAGCCUGCUUUGCGCGACCUACGUGGAACNN
Molecule: long non-coding RNA, 1734 nt
Filed under: Carica papaya (papaya)
Lineage: Eukaryota; Viridiplantae; Streptophyta; Magnoliopsida; Brassicales; Caricaceae
Description: long non-coding RNA (CPAP_LNC010904)
Source: RNAcentral